AAGCGCACAGCGCCGCCUUCCGGCAGAGCCCUCCCACCAGCCCUCAGGUACCCGGACGUCGCUCACUAGACCCCUCCGCACCGUCCCCUGCCCGGCCCCUCUUCCGGGGUCCCAGCGGGUCGGGCUCAUGAUUCCCCGGCCCCGCAUUCACCCUCACCCGGUAACCCCGGGCGUGCCCCGCACACAGUUCACCCCCACCGAGCGCCUCCCCCGGGACGCCCACCACCCAGCGCGGCCGCACCACGCGAGGCUUCCACUCCCACCCGCCCAGCUCGCGCCACAUACAGUCCCUCAACGCGCUCCUGCCGCGCCGCCCCCUCCAGACAGCAGCGUUCCGGAUCCUAGACGCUUUUUGACGGCUGGUCCUCCCCAGAAAAUGCGCCGUGUGAGCCCAAACAUGGUGGGGUUUACGCUGGACCCCGAGCUUGCAAUCUGUGCUUGACAAAACACAAACAUCGCGUGCCUGUCUCCUCCCCCUGAGAUCGAGUAGUAACAGCCACUCCAACUCUCCACCUCCAGCUUCUAGCACCAGGGACCGCCUCCACCACCCCAUGUGCCAAGUGGAGUUCGAGCUGCGCGGCCCUCAAGCAGCUGAAGGGUCCCGUGAGCGAUCAGGAGAAGCUGCUGGUCUACGGCUUGUACAAACAGGCCACCCAGGGCGACUGCGACAUCCCCGGCCCUCCGGCCUCAGACGUGAGAGCCAGGGCCAAGUGGGAGGCUUGGAGCGCGAAAAAAGGGGCGUCCAAGAUGGACGCCAUGAGGGGCUACGCGGCCAAAGUGGAGGAGCUGACGAAGAAGGAAGUGGGGGGCGUGGAGCGCGAACAAAGGGGCGUGCAAGAUGGACGCCAUGAGGGGCUACGCGGCCAAAGUGGAGGAGCUGACGAAGAAGGAAGUGGGGGGCGUGGAGCGCGAACAAAGGGGCGUCCAAGAUGGACGCCAUGAGGGGCUACGCGGCCAAAGUGGAGGAGCUGACGAAGAAGGAAGUGGGGGGCGUGGAGCGCGAACAAAGGGGCGUCCAAGAUGGACGCCAUGAGGGGCUACGCGGCCAAAGUGGAGGAGCUGACGAAGAAGGAAGUGGGGGGCGUGGAGCGCGAACAAAGGGGCGUCCAAGAUGGACGCCAUGAGGGGCUACGCGGCCAGAGUGAGGAGAUGAGGAAGAAGGAGGCUGGCUGAGGGCUCCUCGGGAAUGGAAAGGGCUUCUUAGACCUUGAUGGCUGAAAUGUCCUGAAACUGUCGCAAGCUUAGCCGAGACAUCAAUAAAUCACUUAAACUGCAUGAGAGUGACUGCUGUUGGAAAGGAGAAACUCGGUGACUGAGUGCUGGGGAGGCGUCCAAAUACACAGACUAACUUUUUGUAUGGUUUUGGGUGGAGUUCCCAGCUCUCCUAUUACAAGAGCGUAUGUAGGUAUUUGGAAGGACGAGGGGGACAGUGUGCUGUGGAAAUGCCCAAGAUCUGAGGGCAGGAGACCAUUCUCCAGUGACAGCCUCUUGGGAGGUUGAGGCCCCAGCCCCUUAUCUCUUCAAGGCUGAUUUACUAAUACCCCAGCACCACAGAGGGGAGAGGGACUCUGUCCUCCUAAACACUAAAGUCAAGUCCAAAAGCCCCCACUGGAACACAGGGCCUACCCGGUUCAUGUUUUGAGGGAGACCAAGCUUUCCGUGAUGAUAAUGUGAUGAAACAAUUGAUGCGCCAGAACACAGCAGUUUAGAAACAAUGGAGCAGAUGGUGUCAAAAUCCCAGCCCCAGAAAGGCUCACCUAAGGCCGGGCAACCAAAAUGUUCCCGGGACUAUUCUGUACUUAACCCUGGUUUCUGCUUAGGGGACGGUGGGACAAUAUGCAUAUGGAUGUCUAUGUGGGAUUUGUUGCAAGAGCACAACACACCCCUUGACCUAUGCAAGUGCCAGAGUGUCUGAGCCCAGCUUCUACUCCUGUUAAUGAUCACAGGAGCCUCAUACACAACCAUUGUGCAUGGCGGCUGGAGUAUGGAGUAGUAAAUGGUAUCCAGAAAGGCAGGUCUACGGUGGCAUAUGGGAUUUCCUGGUACUUCUUCUUUAAUAGAAACUAUCUUCACAGAUCAUGACAUCAGGUCAGCUGCAGUUCUCACUGGGACCAAUAAACAAUAGAAGCAACAACCAUAAAGACUUAAGAGGACAAAGGAAACCAAACCUCACUGUGUGUCUUCAAGAUCUGUUCACAUAGUUGCAGGAAGUUGCUGUAGACAAAGUACAUUACUAAAGAAUGAAGCCCACCCAGGACAUCACAGCAACGAAAGAACUAUUUCUGGUAACUGUGGACCAGGUGAGAGCCACACUGUAGAACAGCAGUGCUGCCCUCUCUUCUUUGGCGAAUGUUAUGAAGACAUUCUGAUGCACUUAGGAUCAUGAUUCAUGUUAAAUGUAAAUUAAUUGUAAAAAUAAUACAUCUUGCUCCAAAAUGUGGUGACAAUUUAGAAGCUGUCCACAUAGCCAGACCACUCUGUAAAUCACAGAACCUAGAAAGUAAAAAUGUGCCAUAAUUAGGACAGCAGAAAGUAACAGUAAAAUAAAGUUUUAAAAAAAAAAACAGAAAAUAAGGAUUUAUCUAUUUGUAUUUGCUUAAGAAGAGGUUACCUAUAGGAUGCAGGGGGAAUGGGAUUGAUGGGCAUGGGGUAUACUGUGAAAGGAAAAUAAAAUCUUGGGACCAAAUUCACUAAGCGAAAAGGAAAAGUUAAGCUUGGAAAUUGAGUCAUGGAAUAUGCAAAAAACUUCCUUUUGUUCCUAAACAGAUAAGCUACAAGACAGAAGGCCACAUAUCUCCCCAGGUGGUCUCCCUCACCUGACAAUAUAAAUUAACAGCUUAUCUUCAUAGGUAAGGGACAAAGACAACACCAGAAACCAUCCCUCACCAGCCGAGACAAAACAUAGAUGUACUGAGCUGAAUGCAUAACUGUUCCUCUGCCUGCUGCUUUCACUGUAACAUAUAGAUUUGGUGAGCAGUAAAUGUAGAUUUACUGAGCUGAAUGC
This 3004-nucleotide long non-coding RNA is filed under the name Homo sapiens (human). RNAcentral's name for it is "non-protein coding lnc-FAM57A-4:1". Lineage: Eukaryota; Metazoa; Chordata; Mammalia; Primates; Hominidae. The record is from RNAcentral.